GAAAACAAAAUUAAUUGUUCUCAUUUGCGACACAGGAGUACACAAUAAUAACGCGUUCUGGUUUCUGCGCAGACAUUAUUUCUGUUGAAUCAGUUGUUAUCAGUUAUUAGUUUACCUCGGGUACAUAGAGUAAUAUCAAUAUUAUUAACACUGGUAUUAUUAAAUUCAAAUUUAAAUUACAAUUUUUUAAUUUAUAUUAGACUUAUAUUUGUACACACAUUUUUGUAUUUAGUUUUGUACAUUUAUUAUUUAUUAUUUUGUGACACAGCGGAAUUUAAGAAAAUUCAAUAACGUCAAACAUAGAAUUUUUGUGAGCUUUAAUUAAAUAUUAAAAAUGAUUUUUUUCAUUUCAAAUUCAUUAUAUUUGGCAUUCGUCUGAAAUCUACCUUUCUACCAACUCUUCUCAAUAUUGGUGCAGUUAAUGGUACAAUUGGUUAUCAAAGGCAACAAUCCUUGGAUUCAACUGAGCACCUUCUUUUUCAACUACGCUGUCAAUAAAAAAAAUCGACCCAUUUGUUCCACGACCACUACAAUAAACUAAGCCCAUUUUCUGGCAUCUAAGUUUUAAUUCAACCGAGCAUUAGCUGAUGGGAUCUAACAAGCACUUAAUUUUGACUUCAGGAAAACUUAUUGUCUCCACGAUCAGUCAUUGUCAAAGUGUCAUGAAUGUCUUAUUGUACGUUAUUCGACGUUUAUACUCACUGUAGUCAAACUGACGUCCCCGUAGAUGGAACCCAUGGUUUCGUCGGUGAAGAGUGUCAAAGCAGUAGUCGUCGACACGAUAAAAAUACUCAACAAAACGACUUGGUUGACGACUAUUGUUGGGAAACCUAAAAACCGCAAAGGCAGUGAUAUCAUUGUUCGCUACGGUCGGUCCAUUCACACAAAGAUUGCGAAUAUAAUUUACUAGAACGCAUAGAGAGCAGUAAACCAGACGCAACGACGUGUCGUUUCCUCACUCAAACAACGUGUGGCUGGUAAAUUCCGCUAAUGUCGCUCUACUGAACUGAUAAAGGCCUCGGUUCCUUUAUUUAUAUCGCACACAUACUUCUCGGCCUGACCGGAGUCCGGAUCUCUGAGACUCGACUAAAUGCACAUUUUACAGAAGGCACACGUCAUACACAAUGUCUACACACGUAGGUAUUUGUAUUAAUAAUAUACUGUUAUCGACAAUAAACGGUGCUGCACAUACGAUUUUGAUUGUUUUUGUUUUACACAUUAUAGAGCGCAUACACGGUAGGUAUAACACACGACGUUCUAAAUGAAUCAUCAUCGCGGCGUAACCUUAAAAUAUGUACAUAACCAGGCUUCGUCGAACAGAGUAUUGCA
This is a long non-coding RNA of Adelges cooleyi (spruce gall adelgid), 1329 nucleotides long. RefSeq lists it as uncharacterized. Lineage: Eukaryota; Metazoa; Arthropoda; Insecta; Hemiptera; Adelgidae. The transcript has 3 exons. The record is from RefSeq and is a predicted model, not a curated record.